Molecule: ribosomal RNA, 786 nt
Filed under: uncultured bacterium
Lineage: Bacteria
Description: bacterial SSU rRNA
Rfam family: Bacterial small subunit ribosomal RNA
Source: RNAcentral
UGGCUCAACUGGGAGAGGCCGUCUAAACUACAGAACUAGAGGAUGGUAGAGGGAGGUGGAAUUCCAGGUGUAGCGGUGGAAUGCGCAGGUAUCUGGAGGAACACCGGUGGCGAAGGCGGCCUCCUGGACCAUUCCUGACACUCAGACGCGAAAGCUAGGGUAGCAAACGGGAUUAGAGACCCCGGUAGUCCUAGCCCUAAACGAUGUAGACUAGGCGUCGGAAGCUUAAUCGCUUUCGGUGUCCAAGCUAACGCGAUAAGUCUACCGCCUGGGGACUACGGCCGCAAGGUUAAAACUCAAAGGAAUUGACGGGUCCCCGCACAAGCAGCGGAGCGUGUGGUUUAAUUCGUUGCUACACGAAGAACCUUACCUGGGUUUGACAUAGCAGUGGUAGGGAAGCGAAAGCGGACCGACCCUUCGGGGAGCUGUUACAGGUGUUGCAUGGCUGUCGUCAGCUCGUGUCGUGAGAUGUUCGGUUAAGUCCGCUAACGAGCGCAACCCGCGUUGUGUGUUACAAGUGUCACACAAUACCGCCGGUAUUAAGUCGGAGGAAGGUGCGGAUGACGUCAAGUCAGCAUGACCUUUAUAUCCAGGGCUACACACACGCUACAAUGGUCAGCACAAUAGGUUGCCAAGUCGUGAGACGGAGCCAAUCCUCCAAAGCUGGCCUCAGUUCAGAUUGCAGGCUGCAACUCGCCUGCAUGAAGUUGGAGUUGCUAGUAACCGCAGGUCAGCUAUACUGCGGUGAAUACGUUCCCGGGGAUUGCACACACCGCCCGUAAGGGC